CUUAUGAGUCACACCUACGACUUAUAUUCUGUGACCAGCUGCUCUCUGUAGCAUUUCAGUGGGUUCUGACUUCAUUCUUUUUUCAGAUCUUCUGUUUCUGUGGGUUGCUGGUCAUUUGCGUCACAUGACUCCAGUCCCACAUUUCUACAAAGCACAGGAGCUUGCCAUGCGUGAAUGCCUCGUUCUUCGUCGUGCAUUGCUGUUUUGGGUAAACGUGGUUUGGCGAGGUGUGCAGGCGGUACUGACCGCAGACUUGCAAUGAAGGCAUAACUCCAGCCUGAGGGUUUUCAUUUUGCCCUCGACCCAGACGCCCGAGGCUCUUCAAACAGGAUACAGAGGUAGAUGGCGAAAGAGAUUUGAAGUGAUAGCCCAUUUUAGCGGAGAAAAAGGCUCUGAUUGUCUCCGCUGCCCAUCGCACCCUCCCCGCAACAGCCUCGCAUGCCACUGGAGAAAGAAAGGAAAGAAAGCAGUUGAGUGAGAGAGAGAGCGAGUUAGCGAGAACAGUGUCGCUUUGCAGCUGCUCCUCUGGAUGUUUUUGGAUUACAUCAGUGCCACGCAAAGAAAGGAGCAGAGGACUGGCAGAAAAGGGAUCAGAGCGCAGAGGGAGCGGGGCACACUCCACAAAUCAGGGCUCUUAUUUUGGGAGGGGGCCGGGGCCUCGCUCCGGAGUUCUCUAGGACAGAGCUGUCAUUGUUAGCAGGUUGAAGUGGGUAAAGCCAGGGCUCAAUAGUGUGGCGGGACCCCCCCAAUACCGUACCCCCUACUACCACAUCCUGACAACACAGCAACAGCAACCCAACCCGGCCCUGUCAGCUGCCCGCGCCUGUGGAUGGCAUGCAGCUGGGAUCACAUUGCUUUGGGUACCCACUCCUGCCCCCCCUUUAGAAUUAAUACUCCUACAUCUUUGUUUGGCAGGCGAGCGCUGGCAUUGAAACGGGCACAGAGGAGGAGAAAAGAUCAAGGCAAACUGCGGGGGAAAAGAGAAAUUGGCAUUUUAAAGCUAAGUUAACUGGCACCGUACUGUUCCAGAAUGUUUUCUGGUGUUCUUAUGGUCGUACUGGUCAUUUUACUGAUGUGUCGCAGGAUUAUAUGGCAUGGAAUAUGUUUUGUUGUGGGAGACAGAAUAUUAGCAAGGAAGGCCAAAACUAAAAUUAAAACAGAAGAUUUGGAUUAAAUAAGCGUUGUACUUACGAAUAUGUGCUUUUUUCCCUGAUGUCUAUAUUCUAUUGUAUUCAAGCAUUAGGUUUCAUUAUAAAACCAAUGAUAUGAAACACCAAAUACGUAGAUAAAUGAACUGUAGCACGUGCAACAAUUAAA
Molecule: long non-coding RNA, 1317 nt
Organism: Triplophysa rosa
Lineage: Eukaryota; Metazoa; Chordata; Actinopteri; Cypriniformes; Nemacheilidae
Exons: 4
Source: RefSeq, a predicted model, not a curated record